GUCGACUGGCUCAGAUUAGAACGCUGAAAGGUGAUGGCUUUUGCCAGGGAUGCAAGUCGAACGGCAGCACGGACUUCGGUCUGGUGGGCGAGUGGCGAACGGGUGAGUAAUAUCUGUGGAACGUGCCUAGUAGCGGGGAUAACUACGCGAAACGUAGGCCAAUUACCGCAUACGCCCUUCGGGGGAAAGCGGGGGGACCUUCGGGCCUCGCACUAUUAGAGCGGCCGAUAUCGGAUUAGCUAGUUGGUGGGGUAACGGCUCACCAAGGCGACGAUCCGUGGCUGGUUUGAGUAGAGGACGACCAGCCACACCAGACCAGACACGGCCCAGACUCCUACGGAGCGCGGCAGUGGGGAAUUUUGGACAAUGGGGAAAACUCCCGGAUCCAGCCAUCCCGCGUGUGCGAUGAAGGCCUCUGCUGUAAAGCACUUUUGGCAGGAAGAAAACGGUACGGGAUAAUACCCUGUGCAACUGACGGUACCUUGCAGAAUAAGCACCGACCAACUACGUGCCAGCAGCCGCGGUAAUACGUAGGGUGCAAGCGUUAAUCGGAAUUACUGGGCGUAAAGCGCGCAGGCGGUUCGAAAGAAGAUGUGAAAUCCCAGAGCUUAAUCCUUUGGAAACUGCAUUUUUGAAUUACCCGAGCUAGAGUGUGUCAGAGGGAGGUGGAAUUCGCGUAGCAGUGAAAUGCGUAGAUAUGGAGGAACACCGAUGGCGAAGGCAGCCUCCUGGGAUAACACUGACGCUCAUGCACGAAAGCGUGGGGAGUAAACAGGAUUAGAUACCCUGGUAGUCCACGCCCUAAACGAUGUCAACUAGCUUUUCGCUAGCCUCGCCUGGUAGCGCAGCUAACGGGUAGCGAAGUUGACCGCCUGGGGAGUACGGUCGCAAGAUUAAAACUCAAAGGAAUUGACGGGACCCCGCACAAGCGGUGGAUGAUGAUUAAUUCGAUGCAACGCGAAAACUACCUACCCUUGACAUGUCUGGAAUCCCUGAAGAGAUUUGGGAGUGCUCGCAAGAGAGUCCGGAACACAGGUGCUACGGCUGUCGUCAGCUCGUGUCGUGAGAUGUUGCUGUCCUGCAACGAGCGCGUGAACCCUGUCAUUAGUUGCUGUCAGAAAGGGCACUCUAAUGAGACCGUCAUGACAAACCGAGGAAGGUGGGGACGACGGUCAAGUCCUCAUAGUCCUUAUGGGUAGGGCUUCACACGUCAUACAAUGGUCGGGACAGAGGGUCGCCAACCCGCGAGGGGGGAGCCAAUCCCAGAAACCCGGAUUCCGUAGUCCGGAUCGCAGUCUGCAACUCGACUGCGUGAAGUCGGAAUCGCUAGUAAUCGCGGAACGUGUGGUCGCGGUAGCUACGUUCCUGGUCUUACACACCGGCCCACACCAUGGGAGUGGGUUUACCAGAAGCAGUUAGCCUAACCGUAAGGAGGGCGAUUACCAUGGUAGGAUUCAUGACUGGGGUGAAGUCGUAACAAGGUAA
This 1485-nucleotide ribosomal RNA is filed under the name uncultured Bordetella sp. RNAcentral's name for it is "partial 16S-23S ribosomal RNA intergenic spacer". It matches the Rfam family "Bacterial small subunit ribosomal RNA". Lineage: Bacteria; Pseudomonadati; Pseudomonadota; Betaproteobacteria; Burkholderiales; Alcaligenaceae. The record is from RNAcentral.